CCUACGGGAGGCAGCAGUGGGGAAUAUUGGACAAUGGGCGAAAGCCUGAUCCAGCCAUGCCGCGUGUGUGAAGAAGGCCUUCGGGUUGUAAAGCACUUUCAGUGGGGAAGAAAGCCUUGGGGCUAAUACCCUCGAGGAAGGACAUCACCCACAGAAGAAGCACCGGCUAACUCCGUGCCAGCAGCCGCGGUAAUACGGAGGGUGCGAGCGUUAAUCGGAAUUACUGGGCGUAAAGCGCGCGUAGGCGGUCUGAUAAGCCGGUUGUGAAAGCCCCGGGCUCAACCUGGGAACGGCAUCCGGAACUGUCAGGCUAGAGUGCAGGAGAGGAAGGUAGAAUUCCCGGUGUAGCGGUGAAAUGCGUAGAGAUCGGGAGGAAUACCAGUGGCGAAGGCGGCCUUCUGGACUGACACUGACGCUGAGGUGCGAAAGCGUGGGUAGCAAACAGGAUUAGAUACCCCUGUAUC
Molecule: ribosomal RNA, 464 nt
Filed under: Vreelandella stevensii
Lineage: Bacteria; Pseudomonadati; Pseudomonadota; Gammaproteobacteria; Oceanospirillales; Halomonadaceae
Description: partial 16S ribosomal RNA
Rfam family: Bacterial small subunit ribosomal RNA
Source: RNAcentral